RNAcentral lists this unclassified non-coding RNA (210 nucleotides) under Hevea brasiliensis (rubber tree). Lineage: Eukaryota; Viridiplantae; Streptophyta; Magnoliopsida; Malpighiales; Euphorbiaceae. The record is from RNAcentral.
CUUCGAGUCCUACCAUAAUCAGGACUCCUACGCCUGUCAUAAGCUGGGCCAUUGUACCUAUCGUACUCAGGGCUGCGAGCUCUGCCGUAGUCAGGACUAGGUCUCCUGCGAUAUACAGGACUAGGAGACCUCCCAUGAUAACUUCCUCUCCUAGGACUACCAUCUCUGUCGUCCCUCUCACCGUCAUCCCUCAAAGCGUACUCAACUGAC